This 523-nucleotide ribosomal RNA is filed under the name uncultured eukaryote. Its description in RNAcentral is "SSU rRNA". It matches the Rfam family "Eukaryotic small subunit ribosomal RNA", at positions 620 to 1148 of the family's 1831-position model. The record is from RNAcentral.
UAAAAAGCUCGUAGUUGGAUUUCUGGCGGGAGCGAUCGGUCCUUCACUCAGUGUUGGAACCUGAUUGUCUCCUACCAUCCAUGGAGAAAACUUAUCUGGCAUUAAGUUGUCGGGUAGGCAAUCUCCAUCUUUUACUGUGAAAAAAUUAGAGUGUUCAAAGCAGGCUUAUGCCGUUGAAUAUAUUAGCAUGGAAUAAUAAGAUAGGACUAUGGUACUAUUUUGUUGGUUUGUGCACCAUGGUAAUGAUUAAUAGGGACAGUUGGGGGUAUUCGUAUUCCAUUGUCAGAGGUGAAAUUCUUGGAUUUAUGGAAGACGAACUACUGCGAAAGCAUUUACCAAGGAUGUUUUCAUUAAUCAAGAACGAAAGUUAAGGGAUCGAAGAUGAUUAGAUACCCUCGUAGUCUUAACCAUAAACUAUGCCAACUAGGGAUCGGCAGUUGUUCACAUAACACUGUCGGCACCUUAUGAGAAAUCAAAGUCUUUGGGUUCCGGGGGGAGUAUGGUCGCAAGUCUGAAACUUAAA